This 636-nucleotide ribosomal RNA is filed under the name uncultured Staphylococcus sp. RNAcentral's name for it is "bacterial SSU rRNA". It matches the Rfam family "Bacterial small subunit ribosomal RNA", at positions 63 to 680 of the family's 1533-position model. The record is from RNAcentral. Lineage: Bacteria; Bacillati; Bacillota; Bacilli; Caryophanales; Staphylococcaceae.
CGAGCGAACGGACGAGAAGCUUGCUUCUCUGAUGUUAGCGGCGGACGGGUGAGUAACACGUGGAUAACCUACCUAUAAGACUGGGAUAACUUCGGGAAACCGGAGCUAAUACCGGAUAAUAUUUUGAACCGCAUGGUUCAAAAGUGAAAGACGGUCUUGCUGUCACUUAUAGAUGGAUCCGCGCUGCAUUAGCUAGUUGGUAGGGUAACGGCUUACCAAGGCAACGAUGCAUAGCCGACCUGAGAGGGCGAUCGGCCACACUGGAACUGAGACACGGUCCAGACUCCUACGGGAGGCAGCAGUAGGGAAUCUUCCGCAAUGGGCGAAAGCCUGACGGAGCAACGCCGCGUGAGUGAUGAAGGUCUUCGGAUCGUAAAACUCUGUUAUUAGGGAAGAACAUAUGUGUAAGUAACUGUGCACAUCUUGACGGUACCUAAUCAGAAAGCCACGGCUAACUACGUGCCAGCAGCCGCGGUAAUACGUAGGUGGCAAGCGUUAUCCGGAAUUAUUGGGCGUAAAGCGCGCGUAGGCGGUUUUUUAAGUCUGAUGUGAAAGCCCACGGCUCAACCGUGGAGGGUCAUUGGAAACUGGAAAACUUGAGUGCAGAUAGAGGAAAGUGGAAUUCCAUGUGUAGCG